This 87-nucleotide microRNA precursor is filed under the name Odocoileus virginianus texanus. RNAcentral's name for it is "mir-1296 microRNA precursor family". It matches the Rfam family "mir-1296 microRNA precursor family". The record is from Rfam by way of RNAcentral. RNAcentral also lists the same sequence under 10 other names. Lineage: Eukaryota; Metazoa; Chordata; Mammalia; Artiodactyla; Cervidae.
UACCUAACUGGGUUAGGGCCCUGGCUCCAUCUCCUUUAGGAAAACCUUCUGUGGGGAGUGGGGCUUUGACCCUAACCCAGCUGGGCU